GCCCUUCUAGCCCCUGAAUUCAUACCAGAAUCCAGGAUCUUAUUUGGAGAUGAGGUAACAGAAGAAGAGUCAUCCUGAGCGAGCUCACUGCUGACACGCCAAUGGUUGAAACCCAUGGCCCUUUGAAAUGUGCUGCUCACUCCUGUGUGCUGCUGGGUGUUUCCUGAAAGCUACGUUCCAACUGUGCUCUGAGAUCCCGCAACUUUCUGAGGGUGCUGAGUAUGGAUGGAGUGUGGGGCCCUGACAACUAGAGAACUUGCUCAAACCUGGCCGUUUCCUCAGUUGUGGUGGUUUUAAAACAUGUCUGCAAACCCUCAGACCUUCCUCUCAUUAAGAGGUAUGUGAGUGAGCAAACCAUGAGAGGAGUCCAGCCCUGGCCUUCCAGCCGUCCCAGCUGAGCGGAGAGACAGACAUGCUGUUCCUGCAGCAUCCUGGCCAAACUGCCAAUUCGAUUUCAAGGCAGUCUUCUCCCAAAAGAGAAUUCUGAGGCUGGCCCACUACAAUGUAUUUCUGCAGACAGAAGAUGAGAACAAGGCCAAAUGAUCAGUUGUGGCAUCUUUCAGUCAUAAGUUCAAUGAUUCUGGGCACAGUAAGAAUGCCAAUCUUUCUUUCUACUUUAAUUCACAUUCAAUUAGAUGGAACAAUAAUCUCUGCAAGCCUCUUUCACAGGUGAUGUUCAUUUCUCUCCAGAGGCAAGGAGCCCUCUAAGGGAAGGAAGUCAUUCAUCGAAAUUAGAGCCACAGGCGGCUGAGGACAGGGCCAGGGACCAGCAGAGAUUCUGGACAAGGUGACUGUCUGGUUGGCACCUGGGCUCUUCCCCUGCUGAAUCUUUCUCUUGCAACUUUGUGUGUAUACGCCCGGUCACCAUGCACUCAGGAUCCUGAGGGUGUGAGAUCUGCAUGGUAUUUGCUUUUCAUGGUGCCCACCCAAGCAAUGAUUGGCACUAGAUACACAGUGGGUCACAUGCUUGUAGAAUUAGCUUGUAGAAUUACCAUAUCCACUCCCAGAACCCAGAACAUAUCCACUCCCCAAAUUAGCAUAUGCUUGUAGAAUUAGCAUAUCCACUCCCAGAACUCACACUUCUCAUAAUCGUUCAUUCAACAAACCAUAUUAAAUUACUUCUCUGUGCUAAGCAACAGGGACAAAAGCAAAAUAAGUCCCAACCCCUGUCCACAAGAGUCUAAGAAUCUAGUAGAGGAUGGAAAGAAAGAGGCAAUUAUUCAAAGGUAAGAUAAGUACUGGGUCAUGGAUCCACUCAUCAAGUGGCUAUUGAGCAUUUUCUAUGUAUUAGGCUUUGUCAGUUACCUGGGAUUCGGGGGAAAUAAGGCACAUCUCUGUUAAAAAAAAAAAAAAAAAAACUAUGAGUUUGAUUGUGUGAUGGGUGUCUAGAGGACAGGAAAAGUGGACAGGAGAAAAUUCCCCAGCACCUAACACAGUGCCAAGCACAAAGAGUCACUCAGCAAAUAUUUAUUGAAUGAGAGUUGACUAAAACAAAUAAUUACAGAACAUGAUACAGACUAUGACAGAAGCAAAAGUGGGCUGUGGCUAUUUGAAAAUCAGAGCAUCUUUUAAAAGGGAGACGGCAUCUGAACCUUGCCGAGUAGGAAUGUUCCAGAAGUAAGAGAGAUGACUAGGGUUUCAAGAACAAGGACCAGCACCUAUGAAGGCUCUGAGGCACAGACCACUGUGACCUGUGGAGAAGUGGUGAGUGGAGAAGGAGCAUGGGUUUGGUGGGGAUGGUAGGGAAUGGCCAGUAAUGGGGUAGGAACAAUAAGUCUAAGGCUACAUCCCUGAGGGAUUUAUGACAUAUGAACACUGGAGAAGCAAGUGGACAGCUGCUGCUCCUCUGUAUCUGCACUUUCACAGCAGAAAGUAGAAGGCACCUCUCACCUACCUGAUAACGGAGGAGGUGAGAAUGUAGGCUUUAGAAUCAAGUGGACCCUGGGUUCAAAUCCCAGCACUGCUACCUUUGAACAAUGAGCUGUUGGGCAAGUAACUGAGCCUCUCUGCACCUCAAUAGUUUCGUCUCCUAAACAAGUACCAUGAUAUCCACCCAGGGGAGUGUUGGAAAGGAAUAAAUAAGGUAAGGUAUGUAAAAUCUUGAUUAGAGUACCUGGCCUACAGUGACUAUUUUGAAAGCAUUGUUUUGUUAUUGUUAUUACUGUAAUAAUUAUUAUUCCUGUCAUUCUAUUUGGAAUAAUGUUACUUCUCAUCUAUCCUUUACUGCCUAUAAAAAAAAGUUAAAUUUGAGGCCAAUCUUUUCCAUAUUGGUUAUCUCCACAGAGCAAAUGAAUUUAGAGCCAUUACUUGAUGGUGAGUGGGGAUUACUCAGGUUGGAAGGAACCUCCAAGUGCACAUGGCCCGACAAACCUCCUCAAUUUACCACUGAGGAGCCUGAGGCCCAGGCUCCCACAGUUUCCCAGAACUGCCCCCUUGGUCAGAGUCACGGUUCUCCUCUGGAAGAGAAGCUCAAGGGCAGACCCUCGGCAGGAAGCAGACCAGCAUUUUCUGGAACUUCCCCGGUCGCUCUUCAGACCCCUCACUGAGGGAUUUAAUGGGAGGACUCACACGGCCUGAACAAGCCAAGUGAAGCACUUGUCUGCUAUUCUGUUCCCUUUGUGAGACUCAGAGUACCUGCCAUACCCAUAGUCAAAUUUAAAUAAAUAUUUAACAAAAGGGGUUAUUUUCUACACCAUGAGAAAAAGAGGUGAUUUUCUACACCAGAAGUUAUUAUUCUCUACUCACAGCUGGCCAGACCGUGGGUGAGGUUCCUAACCCAUAGGUAGCCAAGAUGUUGGCCCAUGUGGGAACCGUGGUCCAGCCAGUAGGACUCUCCUGUGCUGGAUGGUACUGACCCAUUGAGCCAAUCAGAUUCUCUCUCGUGCCUUACUGUGUUCUCCAAAUACAUAUUGAGAACUUCCAUGUGCCAAGCUCUAUGCUAGGUUCCAGUGAUACAAACAUAGAAGGGGCUCUGUAACCCCAGACCUCUGUGCUCUUAGAAGGAGUUCAGUAUAGGAAUCCAUUCCUUAUUAGCAACUUAAACUAACUGUUGGGAUUUUGUUGCAACAUAUACACAACUCUCAUUUAUAAUGUAACAGUUACUUUAAAUAAACUGAUGAAUUUAUCAGGACCCUCGAAUUCAAGGAACAGAAACCUAACCCAAUCUGGCAUAAAGAAAAAUUAGAAUUUACUGGCUCAUAUCCACAAAGGCUAGGACUAGAGCUGUCCUCAGGAAUUCAAAUAAUGAUAUCGUCUCUCCCUCUCUCCUUCCUCUCCCACCCCAUCUCAUUCCAUAUCUCAGAUCUCUGCUUCUCUCCAUCUGUUGGACUCAUUCUUUCCUCACAUAGCAGAGCUUUAUUCACACUGCAGGAGACGUGGCAUGGGCAGCUCCAGGCUUCAUCAACCUAGAUUUGCAACUCCCAAGGAAACAAAGAUUUCUCUCUCCUAGCACUCAGAGGUAAAAUUCAAGGGAAGAACACCAAUAAACCAAACUUAGGUCAUGUGGCCAUCAUGAAGCCAAUCACUGUCGCAAGAUGCGUGAGAUCCCAUGAUUGGUCAAACCUUGGUCACAUGACACAGCUCACCCACCAGAACCACAUGGUGCAAACGAACAGUUCCCCACAGCAAGGAGGGUGCCUUUCCAUAGAAAGGGAGUAGAUGCUGAAUAGGAUGGAGAGGAGGAGGCAGAGAGAGACGUCUGUUACACCAGAAGGAAUAAAAGGAAAAACUUGUUUUCCAAAAGAAAAGGUAGAAAAGGACUUUACCAAAGAGUAGUUUUAGGAUUGUUGCUAAUGGCCAGCUUUAUUAGAAUACAGAAGACAUUGAUAUACUUUAAACAAUUUAAUGAGUGGCAAUUCUCAUAAGAUAUACAGAAGGAGUGAGUCAGCACAGAACUAAUACAGUGACAGAGGACAAACCAAGUAUCUUUGAGGGAGGAAGAGAACUCACAUGCAUUGAACAUUUACUGGGUGCAGUACCUUGUUAUGAAACUCUGUUGCUAUCCUAUGAGACAGACACUAUUGUUUCCCUCCAUUUACAGGAGCAGGAACUCAUGCUCAGAGAAGUGUUCAAAAAAAAAACAAAAAAACAAAACAAAAAGGCCUCACUGAUAAUCCUAUGACUAGUAAGUGUGGGGCUGGGAUGUGAUUCCAAGUUCGCCUGAUUCCAAAGCUCAUGCUCUUUCUACAAGUUCGGUCUGCGUUCCAAAGGCAAAAUUGCAGCCCUGCUGAAAGGUGGAGGGGUGAACAAUGAGUCCCUCCUCUAUUUAUAGACAGAGAACAAAACCAGACAGCCCAAAAGGGCAGAAGUGCCAAGAAGGAAAAUAGUUUUUCUGGGUCCUUUAUGAGGACAUUUUUACUCCCAAAAUGGAGAUGGUGCCGGAAAGUAAGAUUGCCCAUCACGAACUGCUGCAGCAGCCAGGACAAUGCAGCCAAGAAAGGACAAUGGGUUCAGCACCCAGGGGUCAUUAGUGGCCCUCAAGAGGCUGCUUCAACAGAGGAGUGUGUCCAGACCUGAUAUUUAAAGCAGUUUACAGCAAGCAACUGGUUGAGAAAUCGAGGCUUCUAAAGUAGACCUACUCAUUCAAGAAUAGCAGUAAAUAUAAUGAUAUCUGCAUGUUUUAAAAUUACAGGGAAGCAAUGAAUCAAGAGGAAAGGUUAAAAAAUCAGACUUUAAUAAAAAUGAGUGCUUAUCUUAUUUUGCAGAUAGAAAAGUGCAAGAAAGACAUGCUAUUAGAGACAGAAAUAAAAAUCCAAAUUAACUGGACCAGCUGAGACUCUGGACUGGGAAAACAUGAGUCUGAACCACUACAGGGUUCUCGGGGAGUUGUAUCUUUCCUGACACACUGUUUGUUCACCCUUUUCUUUGGGCAACAGAUGCCAUUCCUGACCACAUGGGUUGUCCUGUAAAUGGUCUGGCCACUUGUGAUACUUCAUGCCACUGGAAACAGUAGUCAGUUGACCUAAUGUGACUCAAACUAAGCCAGCCAGUCUGUCUCUCUGAGAUUGGUGUAUGGGCAUUGGAAGAGCAGUCUUCUCUCUCCAUUAGAUUGUGAAGCUGGGGUCACGCAAGAGAAAGGCUUAAGCAGCCCCCCACGCAUGAGCAACACAGAUUAGCAAUGACCUGGGCAAAGGGGAUUUCUCUCUCUCAGCACCCAUACGUAAAAUCCGAAGAAAGGAUCUCUGGACAUGUGAAGGAAGCCCAUUCAUAAGUAGGAAAAAAUGAGGCCAGUCCAAAGAAAGAUGGAGAGAGAGAGAAAAACAAACAACAACCUUCAAAACUCUGAAUCUAGCCAAAUCUGCUCCCCAUCCUGGACUUUCUCCUUUAUUGGGCCAUAAUCAAAGAGUCCAGUUGUUUUCAUUUCUAGCUGCCACAGAUAAGUGAGAACAUGUGCUUUUUGUCUUUCUGUAUCUGGCUUGUUUCACUUAACAUAAUGACCUACAGUUCCAUCCCUGUCGUUGGAAAUGAUGGGAUCUCAUUCUUUUUUAUGGGUGUAUAGUACUCUUUUUUAUAUUUAAGGAAGUUUGAAGUGAGUUUCUCUAGCUGGCAGCCAAAAUAGAGUUCACUAACAUAACUCCCAUUGAAGCCUCAAUCAAACCUCAAUAGGUUGCCCUGUGAAUGGAAAUUAAAAUUUUGACCUGCUGGAGCCGCUGAGAAUGAAUAUAAUUUUUUUAAAAAGGCAUGGAGCUCUGUCCUCAAGAAACUCAUAGUCAUGGGAAGUUUUUUGCUUUCCUGCUACAAAUAGGAAAUCCUUCAGAAAGGUUGAUGAUGUCAGUGUAGGUAUGUGUGGUGGGAGAGGGAAUGGCAGGGGAGGCACAAUCCUCUUCCAAAAGAUAAAUAAUAAUGACCAAGCUAAUUAUCACACUUGACAGAUACACACAGGAGCCAAAGGGUGGUGCGCAGAGCUUUGUAUGUUUCUCAUUGAGACACAUCAGCCCACCUCGAGCCUCUCAUUGGGCUUCCAGACAUCUUUUCUCUCUUGCCUAGCUUUUCCUUCCUUUCUUGGGAUUCCCUUGUCCAGUUGGCCCUUUGGGCUCCCCUGCCCUCCCUCCAGGGCUCCCAGAAAAGCAGCUCCAUUCACUCCCAUUGGGAGCUGAAGAGAGUUGAGUCAGAUUCCUUCAUGGAAGGGGGCUUUGGGCUCUUUGGUAAAACAUCAAAAGCUCAGCAAAUUUUGCUCUAACAAUGCCAUCUCUCCUCUCACAGCACCUCUUCCAUUAACUACUGCAUUUGGAAAUGUUUGUCUCUUUUCUCUGUCUUACCAGAAGCAUUUUCCCCAAAAGAAGGGUGGGAAGAAAAGACAAUUAGAGAGGGACCAGUGCUCAGGAACAGUCUUAGAACUCUCCCACAGGGCAGGCCACUGGGUGGCACAAGCUGAAGGAUUCUGGGCAGUCCCCCUUCCCUCCCUCCACAAAAGCAAUAUGCUGUCUUAUGCUUGGAACAUCACUUACAAACUGUAAAGCCAUGCUAUGCAGCUAUUAGAUAUCAUUUUUUAAAACCCUACUCCAAAAAACUCUUUCCAUACAUAGUAGACCUGCAAUAAGGAGGGUUUUUAAAUGGAGGGAUUCCAUUGGUUUAUAGAAUUAUUUUCAAAUUCAGAGACCCUUGCACUGUCUUCCCCAUGCUGCUGGUGAAGAAGUGAAUCAUUACAACCUUCCUGGUAGGUUAUUUGGCAGUGUGCCUCAAAAGCCUUAAAAAUGUUCAUUUUUUUUUGAACCCCACAAUUUUAAUUCCAGAGCAUGAAUGGGCUCCACCAUUUACCAGCCAUGUGAUUUAGGCUCUCUGAACCUCAGUUUCCUCAUCUCUAAAAUGGGGAUAAUAUCAUAGGCUGGUUGUGAGGAUUAAAUGAAAUAUAUGGAAUGCCUUAGAAUGAUGUCCAGCAUACGAUUACAUGCUAUGUGUGAGCUAAGUAAGUGAUCAGAGAGAGAAGUAGAAAUACAUCUCAGUAUUAUUUUAAUUGACAACAUUUAGAAACAUGUCUAAUAAUGGAUUGUUAGCUAAACUAAUUAUGUGGAUCCAUAAGAUGGAACAUUACAUGCCCGUUUUAAAAAUCAUGUUUUCAAAGAAUAUUUGAUGAUAUGGGAAGAUGUUCAUAAUAUAUCACUGGGCAAAAAAAUUCGCGUUUUGAAUAACAUACACAGUAUAAUCUGAAUAUCAAUAUAAAAGGUAAAGAGAAUACUUCAAAGUAUUAUUGGCAGGUAUCUCUAAGUAAAGAACCUUUUCUGCAAUGGAAUCACCUGGGGAACUUAAUAAAACAAUCCUGCUCUAGGAUACCAUCCCUAGAAAUUCUGAUCAAAUUGGCCUGGGCUGUGACCUGGGCCUCAGGAUUCGUAUUUUCUUCCACAUGCUUGGAUACUUUCCCUAGAUUUUUUCCCCAAAGUUUUCUAAAAUAAAUAUGUAUCACUUUUAUAAUUAGAAAUUAAAACCAUAAAUGCUGUUUAAAAGACAUUUCAAUUACCCCCACGAGAGUGGCUGACUAAGCAAUGAUUUUAGUGACUGGCUUACCAGAUAGUUUUCUCCCAGGGAAAGCUGGAGUUUGGCAGAGGAGGGAGAAGCAAUUCAGAGUAUGAGUCACUGCCCUGGGGAACAGACCUAGGAGGGGCACUAGAUGGGGAAGGAGGUGUGGGGCUCAAGGUGAGGACACUGGCCACUUGAGGGGCCAGGGCAGGGACUGAAGAGGUCCUACUGACCAGCUUUACAGGCUGAGCCUGUUGCACAGGCCACUCGGUUAUUUAUGGCCCUUCCUGUCUGAGGCCUUGCUAGGAGCCCCUUGUGAUACUGGGGUUUCAUUUGUGUGUGUCAGCAUUAUGCUUUCUCUU
Molecule: long non-coding RNA, 7814 nt
Filed under: Homo sapiens (human)
Lineage: Eukaryota; Metazoa; Chordata; Mammalia; Primates; Hominidae
Description: HSALNT0330538
Source: RNAcentral